AGCGAACGCUGGCGGCAGGCUUAACACAUGCAAGUCGAGCGCCCCGCCAGGGGAGCGGCAGACGGGAGAGUAACACGUGGGAACAUACCUUUUGGUUCGGAAUAACUGAGGGAAACUUCAGCUAAUACCGGAUAAGCCCUUACGGGGAAAGAUUUAUCGCCGAAAGAUUGGCCCGCGUCUGAUUAGCUAGUUGGUGAGGUAACGGCUCACCAAGGCGACGAUCAGUAGCUGGUCUGAGAGGAUGAUCAGCCUCACUGGGACUGAGACACGGCCCAGACUCCUACGGGAGGCAGCAGUGGGGAAUAUUGGACAAUGGGGGCAACCCUGAUGCAGCCAUGCCGCGUGAGUGAUGAAGGCCUUAGGGUUGUAAAGCUCUUUUGCCCGGGAAGAUAAUGACGGUACCGGGAGAAUAAGCCCCGGCUAACUUCGUG
Molecule: ribosomal RNA, 431 nt
Filed under: uncultured bacterium
Lineage: Bacteria
Description: partial 16S ribosomal RNA
Rfam family: Bacterial small subunit ribosomal RNA
Source: RNAcentral